ACAGGUGACACAGGUGAUGAGUGUAACCAUCAUCUUCCUCAGAGACUUCUGGGCUGAAAAGAAUUUAAUUUCCAUGGCCAAACAUUAUUGUAUGCUGUGGCCCUGGCUAGGAGUACAAAUGAAAUGGGGAUAGUGAUCAUUUUGGGUGUUCUGUUCUGUCAGUCCGGCUGAGAUCCACCCAAUUUUCUUCUUCAGCUCUGGGACCACCCGCACCAGGCAGAUGAAAUUCUUCACACGCUGUGUCUGUAACUGAGUAGUUCUGCUAAUCACUUCCCCCAGACUGGAUAUUUUGGUGAAUUAGAUAUUUUACAAGGAAUACUGACUUCAUCUCUUCCCUUGAUCCUGUGUCAUGGUUUGACACUGGCCAAACAUCAGGCACUCAGGGGUCUUGCACCUGGAAAAAGCUGUUGAUCACUGUGAACACCUUGGCUGGUCUCAUCUCGCUGUGCCCUUCCCCAGCUGAAGAGAGCAGCCUCUUCUGGAAAAGCUUCACAGAAGUGAGCUGAGCAAGUCCUGCCGUGACUCACAGGGAGUUUGUCAUUCCCCAGGCUGUGAGGCACAGUGGAAACAAGAACAGAGGGCUCCUAAAGGUGCUGAAAGGCCCCUGCUCUGUGAAGAGAGCCAGGAAACAACAGUCACAUCAAGUGUUAUCAGGGGCCAAAGCAGCGGUGUCAGAGGGAAGGAGAGCACAAACAGCCUGUGUGUGCUGCUGCAUCUGCACCAGGGUGAUUUCCAUGGUCACACAGACAGGUCAAGAGAUGUGUCUGCACUUUUUGUUCCAGGCAGCCUCCAGAGUCCCUCAGCCUCUGGAGAGAAGAGGGAAAAUGAUGUAGGGGGGGGAAAGAAAAGGGAACAGCGGAACAGUGCUUGGAAUCACACUAACCAGAAAGGAUUCUUUUAACAUUGUGCUGGUCAAUGAAGUGAAAUGACUGGCUUACCACAGUGCUAUGAAUUUGUAUGUUUAAAAUCAUAACUCAUUUUGUAAUCUCCUUCCUUCCACAGAAGUGCCAUUUGUCAGAAUACAAAAAAAUUCCAAGUGCAGUUCAGGUUCCAUUUCACUCUGAGGUCAUUUCCAGUCAGCAUUCAUUUGGGGGCUGAGUUUAUCAGAAGUUUUCCCAAAUAGCGUGGCUAUUCCCACAUAAAUAUCUACUUCCUGAAACCAACAUGUUUGGCAGAGAAAAAAAAAAAAGAAAAGAAAGCACAUUUCCCUGAAAAUUCAGUUCUAGGAGGAGCCUGGACCAACAAAUGGCACAGUUAUAAUAUUGUUCUUCCAUUACAAUUGCCUCAGAAUCAUUACUCUUGUAUUUCCUCCUCAGCUGAUUAGUCCCUCAGCUCAAUUGCUUUGAAACAAAUAAAAUACCAUCUAUUUGUGUUUUUGCUUCUGUGGGGAAAAAUCUGCUUAUUGUGGUAAACUAAAUAGAUUGGUUUUGUCUGUGCCGGGUUUUGUUUUAAAGAAUGGAAUCAUUUUGCUGGAACUGAAAUUCGGAUUUUUCAGGCUCUCUAAUGAAAUUCUUCCACUGUGUGUUGAUUUGGGAAACAGUCUGGACAGCUGAUAUGAAAUAGCUCUGGAAGCUUUAACUGAGGUUUGGAAUCACAGAAUCCCAGAAUGGUUUGGGUUGGAAGAGAUAUUAAAGCUCAUCUUGUUCCACCCCCUGCCAUGGGCAGGGACAUCUUCCACUGUCCCAGGCUGCUCCAAGCCCAUCCAACCCGGCCUUGGGCACUGCCAGGGAUCCAGGGGCAGCCACAGCUUCUCUGGGCACCCUGUGCCAGGGCCUCAACACCCUCACAGGAGAGAAUUUCUCCCUAAUGCCAAAUCUUAGCCCACUCUGUUCAUUUUGCCCCUUGUCCUGGCACUCCAGACCCCUGUAAAUCUUCUCUUUCCAUCUUUCCUGUUGCCCCUCCAGGCCCUGCCAGGCCACACCGAGGUCACCCCAAAGCUUCUCCUCUCCAGGUGAACACUCCCAGCUGUCCCAACCUUUCCUCCCAGCAGAGCUGCUCCAUCCCUCUGAUCCCCCUGGAGCCUCCUCUGGAUCUCUCCAGCAGCUCCAGCUCCUCCCUGUGCUCCAACUACGACCAUUCCAGAAAUGCUGUAUAAAAUGAUGUUUAGUCCUUGCCCUCUUUUC
This is a long non-coding RNA of Hirundo rustica (Barn swallow), 2123 nucleotides long. RefSeq lists it as uncharacterized. The record is from RefSeq and is a predicted model, not a curated record. Lineage: Eukaryota; Metazoa; Chordata; Aves; Passeriformes; Hirundinidae. The transcript is spliced from 3 exons.